RNAcentral lists this ribosomal RNA (440 nucleotides) under Coatonocapsus nr. pallidus 482. RNAcentral describes it as "partial 16S ribosomal RNA". It matches the Rfam family "Bacterial large subunit ribosomal RNA", at positions 1958 to 2609 of the family's 2925-position model. The record is from RNAcentral. Lineage: Eukaryota; Metazoa; Arthropoda; Insecta; Hemiptera; Miridae.
AGCAUAAUCAUUUGUCUUUUAAUUGAGGUCUGGAAUGAAUGGCUAGAUGAAAAAUUUACUUUCUUUAUUUUAAAAAAUGAAUUUGAUUUUUAGGUUAAAAAGCCUAAAUUUAAUUAUAGGACGAGAAGACCCUAUAGAACUUAAUUUUCCCCCAAAUAAUUAUUUUUUUAAAAAUAAUUUUUUCUUAUUUUGGGGGGAAAUUUUAUUGGGGUGAUAAAAAAAAAUUUAUAACUUUUUUACUUUAUAUCAUUAAUUUAUGAUUUUUUAAUCCUUUAUUAUGGAAUUUAGAUUAAGUUACCUUAGGGAUAACAGCGUUAUUAUUUUAGAGAGUUCUUAUUGAUAAAGUAGUUUGCGACCUCGAUGUUGGAUUAAAAUAAGCUUUAGGAGUAGAAAAUUAAUGGCUAGGUCUGUUCGACCUUUAAAUUUUUACAUGAUCUGAG